UGCCCAGCAACUCUUAUCCCUACCUCCACGCGGUACCGGCCGGAAACUAUGAGCAACCUUAGGGAAGAUCGGGUAACCAACCCCGGUGGGAACUUUGGUCGUAGGCUGACAGGGAAGG
Aedes albopictus (Asian tiger mosquito) is the source of this 118-nucleotide non-coding RNA. Lineage: Eukaryota; Metazoa; Arthropoda; Insecta; Diptera; Culicidae. The record is from Rfam.